UCGAAUUUACAUUUUCUAAAAUAAAAUAAUACAAAAAACCAAAAAAGAGAAGGAAAAAUUGAGAGCGAAUACUAAGUAUCAAAAUCAUUUUGAGGAGAUGAGAUGGAAGACGGAGGCGAAGCAACAGAUCUACUCAUUGAAGCUUGUAAAUGCUCUUUGCCACUUUCGCUACCCUAAUUCCACUAUUGUCUUCGGUCGCGCAGUCCGCAAGGUUGUAGAUCGUGUCCUUGCACCUUGCUAACUCUGCCAAAGGCGGGACUUGUUGGAGCGGCAAAUUCUCAUGGGUUGACUUGCUCAGGUCAACAGGAUAACACAAAAGAAUGGUAAAAUCGAUGACUGAAAUUUCUCGAAUGAAGAAACCAGUUGUUAAGAAAAAAUUGAUGCCUUUUUAAAGGAAAGUGCAGGUGCUGGGAAAGUGCGACUAAUUAUAUUGCAACUUUAGAAAUGCAAGUCAAAGCCAUGACAUUUUUCACUGGCCUCCUGAAUGGUGAUGGCUUUAGAAAUGCAAGCUAGCGAGGUUGGGCAAUGUAUUAGCGAUGGGUUGGUGGUGACAGUGGUGGUGUAGCGGUCGAUGGUAUGUUUGUGAUGGUAGUGGGUGAUGGUGGC
This 606-nucleotide long non-coding RNA is filed under the name Olea europaea (common olive). RNAcentral describes it as "long non-coding RNA (OEUR_LNC010918)". Lineage: Eukaryota; Viridiplantae; Streptophyta; Magnoliopsida; Lamiales; Oleaceae. The record is from RNAcentral.